Molecule: long non-coding RNA, 4792 nt
Organism: Pongo pygmaeus (Bornean orangutan)
Lineage: Eukaryota; Metazoa; Chordata; Mammalia; Primates; Hominidae
Exons: 2
Source: RefSeq, a predicted model, not a curated record
CUGACUUGGAAUAUCAACCAAUUAACAUUGAUAAAAGAUUUGGCAAGAAUAAUAUACAGAGGCUUGAAUUUUUAAUGUAAUUAAUGUAAUUAAAGGUUUGUUGGAAAUGUGAGACCAUUUUGUUCUCCCAGAGAAAAAGUGUGUUAAUUGUCUAGCUGGCAGGGAUCUACUUGAAUAUGUUUGCAGAGAAAAGCAGAAGAAAGCAUGGUUGCAGUAGGAGUAGUUAAAACAGAAAAAUAGUAUGCUUAUAGAGGAAAAAUUACCCUAAAUUUAUUAAAAAUUUAUUAAAAUUCCUUUAAAUUUGUUACUCAAUUUAAAUUUUUAUUGUAUCUUUUCAAUUUUGCUAUAGCACUAACAUGACAUAAGGCUCUGGGUAUUGGGACAAAAGAAUGCCCUUGUUUGGUAGUUGGGGUCAGGUUUGUAGUAGUGCAGUGUGCUUUAACAAGCAUGGGCUUUGACAUCACACAUUUGUUGCCAUCUGGACUCCACAAGUGAAUUUGCUAGGGGAUUUGGAGGAGGGAAGGGCACUGUUUCCAUACCUCAGUGGUUUUCUCAUCUGCAAAAUAGGUAUGGUGGUUGCAUGGAUUGACUCAUAUGAUGAAUAUAAAGUUGUUCAUUAGUACAGUACCUGUCAUAUUAAGUACUCAAUAAAUGUUAGCUAUUAUUAAUGCUGUGUUUUAGCUGUUCAGUAAAUAGUUGCCGUAAUGCUUAAAGCAGACAUAAGUUGUUUUUAUUUUAGCAAUAAAGAUGAUGCCAACUUUUUGGUUUAAUGGAAAUGCUUUGAAUCUUUGGUAUUAUUGUAAUAUAGUGGCAAAGAAGUUUGAAGCCCAGCUUCUGGAGCUCAUAUCUUGAUUCUGCCAGUUACUUCGCUAUGUUACUUUGAGGGAAGUUAUUAAUCUCUCUGUGCCUCAGUUUCCUCAGUCCACUAAAUUGAAAUUAUAAUAGCAACUACCUGAUAGGAUUGUUGAGACUCAAUGAUGUAACAAUUUAAAAAUAAGCUAAUACCUGAUAAUUAGUUCUAUAUAUGUAUUGUUUGGUCUAAACGUUAUUUCCGUGUUCAUGUCUUUACUUAAAAUACUGAAAAUUAAUUUUUUAUAGCUUUGUUUUUCAGUUCCAUGAAAUCAGCCUGCCUUUUCUUUUUUUCGUGAUGCAUCCACAUUCUGUAUAGGUAAAAAGCAAAACAAACAAGUAUAAAACGAAAAUUAUGUAAGAAGUACACACAUCCUAGCAGCUUGGCAAGUGUCUGUAUGCUCUUGCCUUUGCCUAAAUCCAGAAUUAGAAUUCAUGUUUGGUGCUCCUGUGGAAGAUGUCUAAAUGUUAUGAGAAAUGCAUGAUUAAAUAAAAAUGUGAAAUGAAAGCAUGGAGACUUGUUGAAGGGGUAUCCACCAUGAUUAUAUAUGAUGGGGAGGAAAGGGAUUACUCCAUUUCUGCCCCUGCAGUCUGUAGGCGUGAUUGAUUACAUCAUUGGUCGCCGGUGAUUAACUCAAUCUCCAAGCCGUGUCCUGUCCUUGGAGGUUGGAGGGUGGCACUGAAAGCUCCAACCCAUCUCAUCAUGCUUUGAUCUUUCCGAUGACCAGACCCCACCCUGAAGCUAUCUACGGGUCCCCAGCAACAUUCGUUUCAUUGUCAUACAAAUGACAUUCUUACAAUUUCAGAGAUUCCAAGGGCUUUAGGAAAUGGAGAUGAAGAGCAAAUAUAUAUUUCACAAUACCACAAACAUACCCUUGGGAAUUAGACCUCUGAUCUAAUCUAGGCUCCCUCACUUGCCAUUUUUGUGACCUUGAACAAGUUGUUCAUCUUUUCUGGAUAGUUCUCUAUUAAAAAAAAAAAAUUAAAAUAAAAAAAUGGUGGCUAUCAGGUUGUUAGGAGGACUAGAUAAGAGAACUAUGUGAAGGGCCCUGCACAGUGCUAGCAACAAAGUUGUUUAGUAAGUACUUUUUCAAUUUAUUUUGCUCCCAAGCUCAUGUGAGCUCCCUCAGUGUGUACCACCAAAUCAUAUGAUGUGUAUCCCAGUCAAAUCUUAAAGGUCAUCCACCUUGAAUCUUUAAGUUAAUUAACAUGUGUUUUUAAAACUGCAUUAUAAGAAUGUUAGGUUUUUUGUUUUGAUCCUAUGGAAGUUAAACUUUUUUAUGCAAGCAUUCAAAUGUUUAGCUUCAAACUGAACAGAUAAAUAGUCUGUAUUAUUUCAUUAUGUAUUAAAAAAUGAUUAAGCCUGCCUCAGGCAGUUCAGGCAAAGCAGGUAAAAGAUUAUCAAGGAGUAACAUUAGAAAACACUAAUCAGAGUGCCUAAAAAGCUUUAUGCUUUUUACUGUUGGAACAGUAAAACAAACAAAACAUUACAAGCUAUGAAGCGUUCAAGAUAGGUAGAACAGAGCAGGUUAUAUGAGAGAAGUCUCUUCUAAAAUUGUGUUGGCUAGUCUGGGAUUUGAACUUAUACCUUGUAUGUAUGUCCAUGUGUAACAGGUUGAACAUGCAAGAAGCAGUGUUCAUAAAAGGUGGCAAACUUGUUUUACUUGUUUCUCAGUCUUUUCAGAUCAGUGCUUAUAAAACACUGAUAUUUACAGUAAAUAUAUUAAAUAUUAGCUAACCCUAUUAAAUUGUGUGUCCUUGUGCUGCAGUCAUUUAAUGACCUCAUUCUUUGGUAAGUUGGCAUGUGAUUUGAGAUAGCUCUAAGUGCUAAUGGAUUGUUUGAAGGAGUUAAAGGCAAAACCAGGAAGAGAAAACUAUUUUUAGGAAAAAGUGAUCAUACAACAGGCCUUAAAUAGAAGAAAUGAGAUAUCUCUAUCUUUACUAUGUAACCUGUAACUAAUUCCUUACACAUUUUGACUUCAUAUUUUUUGUAUGUAAAUGAGAAUGUUAUAGUCUUGUAAAUUCCUUUUCGUCUGUGACUACAUUCAGUUAUUUAUUUUAUUGUGUGUUUGUGCAUGUCGGUAGAGCACAGUAUUUAGCAGAAUGAGUUCUUGGUUAAACCACCUGGAUUCAUUUGUAAAAUGGGGCCACCUAUCUCUUAAAUUGUAAUGAGGAUUUGAUUAGAUAAUCUAGAUAAAUCACUUAGCACAAGAGUCUCCAGCCCCCGGACUCUUGACCGGUACUGGUCUGUGGCCUGUUAGGCACUGGGCUGCACAGCAGGAGGUGAGCAGGGAGCAAGCUAGCACUAAGGCCCGAGCUCCGCUUCCUGUCGGAUCAGUGGCAGCAUUAGAUACUCAUAGGAGCACAAACCCUUUUGUGAACUGUGCAUGUGAGGGAUCUAGGUUUCAUGCUCCUUAUGAGAAUCUAAUUAAUGCCCGAUGAGCUGAGGUGGAACAGUUUCUUCCCAAACCCAUCUCACGAAACCCGUCCCUGGUGCCAAAAUUUUGGGGGACCUCUGACGUAGCGCACUAUCUGGCACAUACUAAGCACUCAGAAAAUAUCCCAUUUCUCAAAACUCAGUUCCAGUGUCAAGUCUUAAUAGUAUAUUGAUUUUGGAACUCCAAGGUAGUUGGUCCUCUCUUUGUGUCAUAAAUGUGCCUUGUACUCAGUAGUGCUAAAUUGCUAUCACUAGUGCUAAAUGUACUACUAAUUUAUCUGUGUGUCCACUUCGCUUCUUAGAUUGUGAGCCCCUUGAGGACAGAGAUGGGUUUACUCAUAUUUAUAAAUUCAUUGACAUGAUAAAUAUUUGCUGAAAGAAUAAAAUUGUAUUCUUAUUUUUAAGCAGGGUCCCUUCCACCUCUGAGUGGAAGAUAGUCUGGGAGCAAAGGUGACAGGUCUUCUAAAAAAUCUGGCCACAUUCUCAACCCACCCCAUCCCCGCUUUUUUAAACAGCUAUUUAAUUGCCGUUGUAAUCCUAAGGAUUAGAUCAAUUUUUCACUUCUCUUUUUCACACUUUUUUCCUUUUACUAAGAAAAUAAAGUAAUAAAGUGACUGCUAAAUGGAGAAAACUGUCCACUAAAUAUGAAUUAAUAAGUGCUAUGAUCAGAAAUUGUGUAAAAGCAACAUAAUGGCACUAUAAAAAGGUAUUAUCUUAGAAUCAAAAACCUUGGGUUUAUAGUAUAGCCCUGCUACUUUCUAGUCAUAUGACAGUGAUCGAGCUAUAGUACCUCUUUGGCUCGACAAAAUAGGGAUCAUCUCUAUUUCUGGCUUGUUAUGAUUGAUGUGAAAUAUUCAUACAAACUACCACUGUGCCUAGUAAGUAGAAGACACUCAAGUAUGUCUUGGAGUUACAGUUAAUACUGUAUCGUUUAAAUUUGAGAAAAACCAACUUUAAAAAAUCACAUAGAUACAGUUGUUUACUGCUAGAAAUUUUAUUUAAAUUAGUUGAUACUCUUCGUUAGGUAAUGAAAAACAAUGGUUUUAUCUCCAUUAUGCUGUGAUAGGGAAGAGUAACAGUUCAAAUGGCAAAGGCGUACCUGACAAUUAAGAUGCAUAGUUAAAGGCUAAUACUUCCUGAACACAAGAAGACAAGUCUCUACUUGAUACUACUCUCCAGUUAAAUCAUUGAUACUUUGUGCCAUAUAGUGAAAACAGAACCAUCUAGGUGUUCGCGGAUUGUAUUUUUCCUUAUGAAAGGUAGAAGGUUAGAGAAAAUUAUUCUCAGUACAAUUAAUACAAAUAAAAUUGGUUAUUAGGUGCCUUUUAAUUAGGCAGUAAGGGCAUAUGAAGCUUCAUUACCUAUGAGAAUUUUGUCAAAAUUAUUUCCCAGUUACGAUGUUUUAAAACAACCUCUCAAAAUUCCCCACUUUCUAAUUUCUCGUUUCUGUUCUACCAAUUUUACUCCAUACCUUUUUGCUAAAUAAACAUUUUCUUCCAACUCUGA